RNAcentral lists this ribosomal RNA (253 nucleotides) under uncultured bacterium. RNAcentral describes it as "partial 16S ribosomal RNA". It matches the Rfam family "Bacterial small subunit ribosomal RNA", at positions 524 to 776 of the family's 1533-position model. The record is from RNAcentral.
UACGUAGGCAGCGAGCGUUGUUCGGAGUUACUGGGCGUAAAGCGUGCGUAGGCGGUGGUCCAAGUCUGGUGUGAAAUCUCCCGGCUUAACUGGGAGGGUGCGCCGGAAACUGGGCCGCUGGAGUACGGGAGAGGCAAGCGGAAUUCCAGGUGUAGCGGUGAAAUGCGUAGAUAUCUGGAGGAACACCGGUGGCGAAGGCGGCGUUCUGGACUGUCUCUGACACUGAAGAACGAAAGCCAGGGGAGCAAACGGG